UACGUAGGGGGGCAAGCGUUGUCCGGAAUCAUUGGGCGUAAAGAGCGUGUAGGCGGCCCGGUAAGUCCGCUGUGAAAGUCGGGGGGCUCAACCCUCGAAUGCCGGUGGAUACUGUCGGGCUAGAGUGCGGAAGAGGCGAGUGGAAUUCCUGGUGUAGCGGUGAAAUGCGCAGAUAUCAGGAGGAACACCAAUUGCGAAGGCAGCUCGCUGGGACGUAACUGACGCUGAGGAGCGAAAAGCAUGGGGAGCGAACAGG
RNAcentral lists this ribosomal RNA (256 nucleotides) under uncultured bacterium. RNAcentral describes it as "partial 16S ribosomal RNA". It matches the Rfam family "Bacterial small subunit ribosomal RNA", at positions 524 to 776 of the family's 1533-position model. The record is from RNAcentral.